This 276-nucleotide ribosomal RNA is filed under the name uncultured prokaryote. RNAcentral describes it as "partial 16S ribosomal RNA". It matches the Rfam family "Bacterial small subunit ribosomal RNA", at positions 524 to 800 of the family's 1533-position model. The record is from RNAcentral.
UACGUAGGGGGCAAGCGUUAUCCGGAAUUAUUGGGCGUAAAGAGUGCGUAGGUGGUUACCUAAGCGCAAGGUUUAAUCUUGAGGCUCAACCUCAUUCUGCCUUGCGAACUGGGCUACUUGAGUGCUGGAGGGGAAAGCGGAAUUCCCAGUGUAGCGGUGAAAUGCGUAGAUAUUGGGAAGAACACCGGUGGCGAAGGCGGCUUUCUGGACAGUAACUGACGCUGAGGAGCGAAAGCAUGGGUAGCGAACAGGAUUAGAUACCCCCGUAGUCCCUGA